GUGAAUGAUGACGGCCUUAGGGUUGUAAAAUUCUUUCGCCAGGGAUGAUAAUGACAGUACCUGGUAAAGAAGCCCCGGCUAACUUCGUGCCAGCAGCCGCGGUAAUACGAAGGGGGCUAGCGUUGUUCGGAAUUACUGGGCGUAAAGCGCGCGUAGGCGGGCUAUUAAGCCAGAUGUGAAAGCCCGGGGCUCAACCCCGGAAUUGCAUUUGGAACUGGUAGCCUAGAGACCAGGAGAGGUUAGCGGAAUACCGAGUGUAGAGGUGAAAUUCGUAGAUAUUCGGUGGAACACCAGUGGCGAAGGCGGCUAACUGGACUGGUACUGACGCUGAGGCGCGAAAGUGUGGGGAGCAAACAGGAUUAGAUACCCUGGUAGUCCACACCGUAAACGAUGAAUGCUAGUUGUCUGCGCGCAUGCGUGCAGGUGACGCAGCUAACGCAUUAAGCAUUCCGCCUGGGGAGUACGGCCGCAAGGUUAAAACUCAAAGAAAUUGACGGGGGCCCGCACAAGCGGUGGAGCAUGUGGUUUAAUUCGAAGCAACGCGCAGAACCUUACCCGCGUUUGACAUGCCCUGUUUGGUUACCAGAGAUGGUUUCCUUCAUUUAGUUGGCAGGUGCACAGGUGCUGCAUGGCUGUCGUCAGCUCGUGUCGUGAGAUGUUGGGUUAAGUCCCGCAACGAGCGCAACCCUUAUCCUUAGUUGCCAGCACGUUUGGGUGGGCACUCUAAGGAAACUGCCGGUGCUAAGCCGGAGGAAGGCGGGGAUGACGUCAAGUCCUCAUGGCCCUUACACGCGGGGCUACACACGUGCUACAAUGGCAG
RNAcentral lists this ribosomal RNA (820 nucleotides) under Henriciella sp. R114. RNAcentral describes it as "bacterial SSU rRNA". It matches the Rfam family "Bacterial small subunit ribosomal RNA", at positions 401 to 1236 of the family's 1533-position model. The record is from RNAcentral. Lineage: Bacteria; Pseudomonadati; Pseudomonadota; Alphaproteobacteria; Hyphomonadales; Hyphomonadaceae.